Molecule: long non-coding RNA, 4041 nt
Organism: Homo sapiens (human)
Lineage: Eukaryota; Metazoa; Chordata; Mammalia; Primates; Hominidae
Gene: PCBP1-AS1
Product: PCBP1 antisense RNA 1
Source: Ensembl
CGCCAUGUUUCCUGAACACAAAAUGGCGACACGUGGUUAGCAUUCGUCGCCAACGAGAAAUUGGGGUCGGCCCGAAAGCUCUAGAAUGCACCCCUCUUCCUCCCCGGGGCCUUCCACCUCCGCGAGUUUUAUGACUUAAAAAAGCCCACAGGCUGGUCUGAAGAGGAAGACAAACAUAAAGAUGAAGUGCUUAAUUCAAGGUCACACAAUGUCGGGGAUGGACCUCCAGAUUUCCUUACUGGUGAGACGUGGUCUUGUAACACAGUGGUUAAGAAUGUGACUUUGGAGCCAGCCUGCUAGGGGCUGAAUUCUGACUCAGCCAUUUACUAACUGUGUGACCUUAGGUCACAGAAUUUUCCACACUCCUUGACAGAGGUGCUUAACCCUUAUCCAUCAGCAUUCUCAGACAGCACCUCCGGUUAGGGACAGUAUCUGACCGUCCGACAUCCCUGCAGCCCCCAUGUGUCACACAGACUCAGCCUCAGGUAGAUGGUUUCCGUAGAUGGUGGCUUUCUUUGGACCCUUGACAUCAACCAGUUACUAUUUGACUCUUCUGCAGAACCCCAUGUUGACCCCUGCUUUGAGGUGGCAGAGUUAACACUACUCUUCGUUAUAAGCUCUCGUCUGGGGCAACUCAGAAGAACGGGACCAGAUGUGCAGAGGUAAUGAAUACCAGGGAAUCAGGAAACCACUGGAUCAGUUCUUUGAGCCACAGAACAACACUCAUCCCAGCAGCUGGGAAGCUAUCUGCAAAAGUCCAUCUGCAGAAAGGGCUUCCUGGUCUUGCGUGUGGCUGGGCCAUUUCUCUGGAUGCAGGUUUUUCAUUAUACAGUCUUCUCAAAGAACCACCUGCUCUCAACACCUUCUCGGUGACUCCAUUUCCCCUCCUCUGGGCUCCUGGAAUGCCACAAUGGCCCCACCUUAGCCAGGCAGCUGUGAUGAGAGGUGUUGACCCAACUGCCUCUCUGCUGGCUCACUGAAUCAGGUGGAAGGGGCUGGGGACAGCACAGUCUUGCAUUGUGGUUGGGGACCUGGGCCAUCCAGAGGCAGGACUGUCCAAAGGCAGGGUACUGCUGGGAUUCCGCCAGGCACUGGGUGAUGCAUGGCAUAGGGAGCUGAAGAGGGACAGGCUCUUGGCCAGGAAAAACAGCCCCAGAGCCACAGGUGUGCCAUCGAGUCUUCCUCCUCUCCCAUCCUUAAUCACUCCUGUUUGGUGACAGCACACAGCUAGGCCUGGAGCCCAGCAAAGAGCCCCUGGGUCCCAGAGGAAGUUGUUCUGGGGGCUGGAGACAAUCACAAAUGCCAGGUUUGUGAGCCCCAGACUCUGGUUCAUAGCAAGAGGCAGACUUGUGAACAAACCACCAGAUCACACCGUAAAACACGCUCAACGAGGAGUGGGUGCCCUUUCUAGGGACAGGCAGAAGGCUCCAUGGAGUGACCUUUGAAUGGGGACAUAAAAGUGGAUCCCUUCAACAGCCCCUGCACAGCCCCAAGUCAGGCCUCCAGCCCUUGGACUCACAGAUGUCCUCUGUAGACGACUGGAUGUCCUCCCGUGCUACCCUUUACCCCUGCAGCGAGGGGCACAGAGCCAGAGCCCUCCAGGUCCUCACCACUGGCAUCACCAACAUAGUGGACAUUUUCCCUCUCAGAAUGAAAAGGGAGUGAAAUUUCCCGUGAUCUUUCCACAAAUGACCAGCUUGGGGAGUGGGAGAGGAAGUGCUGCAGUGCCUGGGGAAGGGGCCCUGGAACAGUUCCUGGAAAUGGAGAGGGGUGGAUAGGGUGGAGACAAUGCUCAUGGAGUGCAGUAUGGGGCCUACCCAGAGUUGCUUGGCCACCCCUCUGCCUCUGAAUCAGGGGUGAUCAAUGAAGGAAAAUUACUGCAGCAGUUGAGUCCAUGUAAGAUGAUUGUGCACGUGUGUGUGUGUGUGUGUGUGUGUGUGUGUGUCCUCACUCACUUAAAAAAGACCAUUUCUGUGCAUUCUUUAUGCUGGAACCCUCCUCUGCCUCCCUCUCCAGGAAAUCCCAUAGGAUCCCAUACCUGCUUUAGAAUGUGUGUGAGACACUUCCCAGUGCCUGGCAUGUGGUAGGAGCUCAGUACAUGUAAACUGUUUUCCUUUGACCACUCAAAGUAGUCACUUGUUGGGGAGGCCAAUGGCGGCUUCCCCGGUCUCUGAGCUGAUGGGCGUCUGGUCCCUGCCUCCCCUUCCUUCACUGGCUGAUGACAAAUACCUGAAUGUCAUCACAUCCUCCGUGUCCUCAUCUGUUAUUCUGGAACACAGGCCAGGGAGGGUACAGGGUAGUCCCCCUUCAACAGAGGCUGGCCUUUCUUGGGAUGUGGGCUGGCUGGUGUUGGUCCAAGGAUGGAUGCAGAGGGUGAGGCACCCAUCCUGCUAGUCCGGCCGGAUGCUGGCAGGAGGGCGGGGUGAGGAGGGGCGGAGCUUCCAGAACAAAGGAGAAUGGGGAGCCCAGGGGCCAGCCUAGGCAUCAAAAAGGCUCUGCAGAGUGAACAGGCCACAGCACUGCCUGCCUCUGCCCCAGCAGUCAGCCAGCCGACCGCGCCUGCUCCCUCCUGCUUGCCCAAGGCCGGGCAAGUCAUCCCCACUCUGCUUCGAGAGGCCCCGUUUUCCAGCGUGAUUGCGCCGACACUGCUCUGUGGGUUUCUCUUCUUGGCGUGGGUUGCUGCUGAGGUUCCAGAGGAGAGCAGCAGGAUGGCCGGGAGCGGAGCCAGGAGUGAGGAAGGCCGCCGGCAGCAUGCCUUCGUCCCGGAACCUUUUGAUGGGGCCAAUGUCGUCCCAAACCUCUGGCUGCACAGCUUUGAAGUCAUCAAUGACCUCAACCAUUGGGACCAUAUCACCAAGCUAAGGUUCCUGAAAGAGUCCCUCAGAGGAGAGGCCCUGGGUGUCUACAAUAGGCUCAGUCCCCAGGACCAGGGAGACUAUGGGACUGUGAAAGAGGCCCUCCUGAAGGCCUUUGGGGUCCCUGGGGCUGCCCCCAGCCACCUGCCCAAAGAGAUCGUCUUUGCCAACAGCAUGGGUAAGGGCUACUAUCUCAAGGGGAAGAUUGGCAAAGUGCCCGUGAGGUUCCUGGUGGACUCUGGGGCCCAGGUCUCUGUGGUCCACCCAAACUUGUGGGAGGAGGUCACUGAUGGCGAUCUGGACACCCUGCAGCCCUUUGAGAAUGUGGUAAAGGUGGCCAAUGGUGCUGAAAUGAAGAUCCUGGGUGUCUGGGAUACAGCGGUGUCCCUAGGCAAGCUGAAGCUGAAGGCACAGUUCCUAGUGGCCAAUGCGAGUGCCGAGGAAGCCAUCAUUGGCACUGAUGUGCUCCAGGACCACAAUGCUAUCCUGGACUUUGAGCACCGCACAUGCACCCUGAAAGGGAAGAAGUUUCGCCUUCUGCCUGUGGGAGGGUCCCUGGAAGAUGAGUUUGACCUGGAGCUCAUAGAGGAGGACCCCUCCUCAGAAGAAGGGCGGCAGGAGCUAUCCCACUGAGAAGCCACCUUUUCUUUAACCUCCUAAAUAUUGGUGGGAAGACCCACCGCUGUGGGGGGGGUUGCAUAUCCUCAUGGGGGUCACUGGGCUUGGCCAGUCUGCUUAUCAACUCUUGCUCUUCUCUCCCCUUUGCCUCCCUCUGCAGGGGCCUUAAUCUGCCCCUGGUAGGGGAGGCUUCCACUGAACAGGCACAGGUGAGGGAGAGCAGGCUGGCUUAGAGGGACAGGGUCCCCAUGGUCAUCAAGCUGCUGUUGAUGACAAAGACUCAAAGGCUGGAAGAGCUCCCAAGGAAGCUAGAAAUGCUUGUCUUUGAAAGAACUGUGGGACCCCUUCAGAUUCCCUGAGGUAUGGCUUGGUCACUCUCAGGUCCUCAAAGCCUGUCUUAGUUGGGCUGGGUCCUAGCUGCAGGGUCUUUGUGAGGGUCACAGUUGCUCUGGGACACCUCCCUGAAGAGCCUUUCCACCUGUACAAUCGUAUUUUCUUUCUGUCAUUUGCUUUGAAGCCCAUUGUGCCUUAUGCCAAUAAUUCAAUUGCUGCAAACACCAAUAAAGAU